This is a long non-coding RNA of Scophthalmus maximus (turbot), 283 nucleotides long. RefSeq lists it as uncharacterized. Lineage: Eukaryota; Metazoa; Chordata; Actinopteri; Pleuronectiformes; Scophthalmidae. The record is from RefSeq and is a predicted model, not a curated record. The transcript is spliced from 3 exons.
GAUGAACGCAAGCCCCUCCCCCUCCUGCGUGCGACACGUGGUUGCACACCUGCGCAGAGUGCGUGGUGGUUUUCCUCGCUGUGCGAGGAAGGAGCAGCUUCUUGGCCUCUGUGACUAACUUAUUAAUAAGAGUGAACACCAAAGGGGAAGGAGCCAGCAACCUGGAGAGAUGAAGAGGUGCAUGUCCUCCAGAGAGUCAGGCAAUGCAGCAUCAUCCAGCCGUGAAGCCAUUUGGCGGAGAGGAGGAGGAGGAGGAGGAGGAGGAGGAGUGGGCCAGCUGAAG